RNAcentral lists this ribosomal RNA (441 nucleotides) under uncultured bacterium. RNAcentral describes it as "partial 16S ribosomal RNA". It matches the Rfam family "Bacterial small subunit ribosomal RNA", at positions 338 to 795 of the family's 1533-position model. The record is from RNAcentral.
CCUACGGGUGGCAGCAGUGGGGCAUAUUGCACAAUGGGGGAAACCCUGAUGCAGCACCGCCGCGUGAAGGAAGACGGUUUUCGGAUUGUAAACUUCUGUUUUUAGUGAAGAAUAAUGACGGUAGCUAAGGAGCAAGCCACGGCUAACUAAGUCCCAGCAGCCGCGGGAAUACGUAGGUGGCAAGCGUUGUCCGGAAUUACUGGGUGUAAAGGGAGCGCAGGCGGGAAGCAAAGUCAGCUGUGAAAACUACGGGGUUAACUUGUAGGCUGCGGUUUAAACUGGUUUUCUUGAGUGAAGUAGAGGUUGGCGGAAUUCCGAGUGUAGCGGUGAAAUGCGGAGAUAUUCGGAGGAACACCGGUGGCGAAGGCGGCCAACUGGGCUUUAACUGACGCUGAGGCUCGAAAGUGUGGGGAGCAAACAGGAUUAGAUACCCGGGUAGUC